GUAAACGGCGGCCGUAACUAUAACGGUCCUAAGGUAGCGAAAUUCCUUGUCGGGUAAGUUCCGACCUGCACGAAUGGCGUAACGAUCUCCACACUGUCUCGGCCAGAGACUCGGUGAAAUUGAAGUCGCGGUGAAAAUGCCGUGUACCCGCAGAAAGACGGAAAGACCCUGUGCACCUUUACUAUAGCUUGACAUUGGGAUUUGAGCCUGCAUGUGUAGCAUAGGUGGGAGCCUGUGAACCCUGUACGCCAGUAUGGGGGGAGGCAACGUUGAAAUACCACCCUUGUUUGUUCAGGUCCCUAACUCUUCGCCGUAAUCCGGUAAGAGGACAGUGUCUGGUGGGUAGUUUGACUGGGGCGGUCGCCUCCCAAAAUGUAACGGAGGCAUGCAAAGGUUCCCUCAGGCUGAUUGGAAACCAGCCGUCGAGUGCAAACGCAAAAGGGAGCUUGACUGCAAGAGAGACAUCUCGAGCAGGUACGAAAGUAGGUGUUAGUGAUCCGGUGAUCCCGAAUGGAAGGGUCAUCGCUCAUUGGAUAAAAGGUACGCCGGGGAUAACAGGCUGAUCGCAUCCAAGAGUUCACAUCGACGAUGCGGUUUGGCACCUCGAUGUCGGCUCAUCACAUCCUGGGGCUGAAGCAGGUCCCAAGGGUACGGCUGUUCGCCGUUUAAAGUGGUACGCGAGCUGGGUUUAAAACGUCGUGAGACAGUUUGGUCCCUAUCUUCUGUGGGCGUAGGAGAAUUGAAAGGGCCUGUCCCUAGUACGAGAGGACCGGGAUGGACACACCACUGGUGGACCUGUUGUCGUGCCAACGGCACAGCAGGGUAGCUAUGUGUGGAAGGGAUAACCGCUGAAAGCAUCUAAGCGGGAAGCCUGCCUUAAGAUAAGUUCUCCCUGACGCAAGUCCUGAAGGGCCGAGGUAGACGACCUCGUUGAUAGGCUGGAGGUGGAAGCCCUGUGAGGGGUGGAGCUGACCAGUACUAAUAGCCCGUGCGUCUUGUUUUU
This 1003-nucleotide ribosomal RNA is filed under the name human gut metagenome. RNAcentral's name for it is "bacterial LSU rRNA". It matches the Rfam family "Bacterial large subunit ribosomal RNA", at positions 1923 to 2925 of the family's 2925-position model. The record is from RNAcentral.